ACGGCGAGUGACAGGGAUAAGCCCAGCACCGAAGCCUGUGGCCGUUUGGCUACUAGGCAAUGUGGUGUUCAGGUCGUUCCGCGGAGGUGCUGCUCCACCCCAAGUCCAUCAAUGAGUACGGUAGUAUGGACAUGGCCCAUAGAGGGUGAAAGGCCCGUGGGGGUGGAGAUUCGGUAGGACAGCACUUCUCUGGGUAGACCUUGGAGUCGGGUUGUUUGUGAAUGCAGCCCAAAGUGGGUGGUAAACUCCAUCCAAGGCUAAAUACUUGCACGAGUCCGAUAGCGAACAAGUACCGUGAGGGAAAGUUGAAAAGUACUUUGAAGAGAGAGUAAACAGUGCGUGAAUCCGCUCAGAGGUAAACGGGUGGAGUUGAACUGCAAGCUCUGUGAAUUCAGUUGAUGAGUGUGGUUUGAGCUUGGUCAAAUUGGUGGACAUUGGGGUCUGUGUACUAGCAGGUCUUUGCCUUCGGGUGGAGAUGCGCGAUGCACUUAUCAAGUGUUGUGCGCCUCGAUUGUUUCCCGGCCAACUCGUCAGUGCACUUUCGCAGAGUGGUCACCACGACCGGCGCGCUGUCUGGCCGCUAUGGUUAAACCGGCUUUGUAUAGUCCCAGUGACUUUACUUGGUCGGGAUGGCAGGUAGCUCGUUGGCUUGCUUGUGGCUUGCUGCAGGCGUGGCUUUCGAGUGUAAUCAGCUGACCGUAAUGGUUCUGUGCAGGUGUCGGAGGCGGCGGCUUGAGGUGUGUGCAUGCGUUUCUAUUUGCUGACUUGUCCGAGUUUGGUUAUUUUGUUGCCUGUUAACCCAGGUCGUUUAAUAGCUCGGAUUCGUUCGGUGGAUGGUUGCGUGUGUGGCAUUGUUCCAAGGGCCAAUAGUCUGUGGUGUA
This 881-nucleotide ribosomal RNA is filed under the name Haematoloechus sibiricus. RNAcentral describes it as "eukaryotic LSU rRNA". It matches the Rfam family "Eukaryotic large subunit ribosomal RNA", at positions 86 to 621 of the family's 3401-position model. Lineage: Eukaryota; Metazoa; Platyhelminthes; Trematoda; Plagiorchiida; Haematoloechidae. The record is from RNAcentral.